This 993-nucleotide long non-coding RNA is filed under the name Mus musculus (house mouse). RNAcentral's name for it is "predicted gene, 47231". The record is from RNAcentral. Lineage: Eukaryota; Metazoa; Chordata; Mammalia; Rodentia; Muridae.
GCUGGGGCCUAGGGAUGGGGAGGGGGUGUAAACUUUGCUGGGGAAGUCUGGAAACAGCUGCUGACCCAUUGUCCUUGCCUCAAGCCAGGUGGCAGGGCAGCUUCUGAGGCCUGGACUUGUCCAGUUCUUGGAAACAGGGACUUAGGCCUAGUCUCCUGAACUGCCGAUUUGAAGGCUGACAUGGAGUCAGUCUAGCCUUCUCAGUAACACAGCCAAGAAAACACACCAUUCCUCUAAGCCUUGACAUUUGUGACCUCCAAGCAGAGCACCUGGGUUUGGUUCUCAGAAUCCACAUGAUAUGACAGCAGACAAUCAUCCCCAAUUCCAGUUCCAAGGGAUCUACAACAUCUGUCCUCCACAGGCACCAGGUAUACACAUGGCACACAGACAUACAGGUACAUAAAAAUAGAUGUCCUGAAUCCACCCGGUCCCUCUCAUCUGUCACCACAUUCAUUCUGAUAUAAGUGUCCUUGUUGACCUGUCUACUGCUGUAGUUCUAACUGGGCUUCCUGUGACCCUUUUGUCUUCCUCCUACAGAGGGCUCUGGCUGGUUUUCGCCUGGGACUCCUGCAGAGCCCCUCCCCUCUCCUUAUUCUGUAGGUUUCCAAGUAAUUUCAGUCUUCCAAGAAACAGACUCCAACGGAAGACCAGGAAGAAGGAUUGCAGCCCCAAAGGAGAUAGGAGUUUCACAGGAAGACCAACAGAAUCUACUAGCCUGGUCCCUUGGGGCUCUCAGAGACUGAACCACCAACCAAAGAACACACAUGGGCUGGACCUAGACCCCCCCUGCACAUAUGUAGCAGAUGUGCAGCUUGGUCUUCAUAUGGGUCCUGAACCACUGGAAUGGGGGCUCUCCCAAAAACUGUUGCCUAUAUGAGUGAUUUGUUCUUCUAGUUGGGCUGCCUUGUCUGGCCUCAGUGGGGCAGAAUGGGCCUAGCCUCACGGAGACUUGAAGUGCCAGGGUGAGAGGAUAGCAAGGGGCCCCCACCCAUU